This is a long non-coding RNA of Oncorhynchus keta (chum salmon), 982 nucleotides long. RefSeq lists it as uncharacterized. Lineage: Eukaryota; Metazoa; Chordata; Actinopteri; Salmoniformes; Salmonidae. The transcript has 2 exons. The record is from RefSeq and is a predicted model, not a curated record.
GCCGUAGGGUUGAACUAACAACCAUCUGGUUACUGCCGUAGGGUUGAACUAACAACCAUCUGGUUACUGCCGUAGGGUUGAACUAACAACCAUCUGGUUACUGCCGUAGGGUUGAACUAACAACCAUCUGGUUACUGCCAGAGGGUUGAACUAACAACCAUCUGGUUACUGCCAGAACGUUGAACUAACAACCAUCUGGUUACUGCCAGAACGUUGAACUAACAACCAUCUGGUUACUGCCGUAGGGUCGGACUAACAACUGUCUGGUUACUGCCGUAGGGUUGAACUAACGACCAUCUGGUUACUGCCAGAACGUUGAACUAACAACCAUCUGGUUACUGCCGUAGGGUCGGAGUCCUCUGAGAUACUGAGGCUUCUGGUGUCUCUAAGCCAUCAGUUCUUGUAGUUUAAAAGACAUCAUUAGUGAAGACAGCACUCAUAGUUUCCAGUGACUGUUGUUCGUUGUCAUGGUGCCAGAAACAGGUUUUAUGUUCCAUUCCCAUGUGAACUUCACAUGAUUCAUCAGUAAGGCUUUAAAACACAUGUUCAGGCCUACAAUAGUAAAAGUAAUUCUGUUAAAUGUUGUUAUGCUCAUUGUGUACCAAUUUCUUCAAAAUAUCCAGAUGACGAGAAAAAUGGGAGAAAAGGUGUUUUUAUUACUUUUUUGAAAUUUGUUCGAUCUACAUUUGAUUCAUUUUUGUUAUUACAGUGUUUUGCAUCUUCAGGAUGCCCCGCCCACAUGGGCCAAUACGACUGGUUCAAAGACUGUUAACAUCGAUUUACAAUCAUGACACUGGUUCUCUCAGUAACUCUCUGAUUGGUUAAUACAGCCCCUUGUGUUACAGCUUUAAUUUAAAAUGGAUUCAAUUUAGAUUAUUUUUCUCCACUGGGCCUACACACAAUACUCCACCAUCCAUUUUUUUGACAAAAAAAAAAAUGAAAAGCUGAAAUGUCAUGAGUCAAGUAUUCAACCCCAUUGUUA